Molecule: long non-coding RNA, 924 nt
Organism: Acinonyx jubatus (cheetah)
Lineage: Eukaryota; Metazoa; Chordata; Mammalia; Carnivora; Felidae
Exons: 2
Source: RefSeq, a predicted model, not a curated record
CCACGGCCGUGCCCUUAACCAACAUGGCGCCUCUUCGGCCUCAACCUCCCUUGCUUUUCCGGUCUGCCCUUCCUCACCAAGGGGAAAACCAGGAGGGAGGUUGGACCUGCAGGGCAGCAAAUCGUAGAUGACGUACGUUGAUUGGACGGCGCUGGCGAUUAGGGGAAGAAGGAAGGCUGUGAUUGGUCUCUCCAGAGCGGCCUAUUUGAAAGGCUGAGGAGAAGGAGCGACCUGUCUGGAAGGUGGCGCGCGGUGAGAGGCAGUAGGUUCUUUCUCUUUCUUUCUCUCUUCUUAAGUAGGCUUUCUUUUGACCUGGCUUUUCCGGGACAGGACCUAAAAGAGUGUUUUUGACGGUUUGAGGCUACUGCCUUCUACUUACAUGAGACCUGUUACGAGCAGGUGCAGAUGUCCCGGGCUUGAAGGAAAAUGGUGAAGAAAAUUGAAAUAAGCCAGCACUCCAAGUACGUUUGCUCCUUCUGUGGCAAAACAAGGAUGAAGACGUGAACUGUGGGGAUCUGGCAUCAUAGUGCCUGCAUGAAAAGAGUAGCCGGUGGCGUCUGGACCUACAAGACCACUUCUGUCGUCACAGUGAAUUCUGAGGACUGGAGGAGUCUUUCUUCAUUUGAAACAUUGCUAGCCUAUAAUAAAUGAGUUAUGUAAACAAAAAGGGAGGGAGGCGGCAGGAAUCAGUGUCAAAGAAGAUGUGUCAACAAAAACAGAGGCGGGAGUGACGCAUUGCUGGAAAGGGAACACAAAUCGAGGACUCGGGGCAGCCUCGAGAGGCUGGAAAGGGCAAGGAAUGGAUUCUCUAGAGUUUGGAGAAUGCGACCUUGCUGACACCUUGACUUUAGUCCUGGAAGACCUAUUUUCAGACUUCUGGCCUGCAGAAUUGUGAGAUAAUAAAUUUGUGUUAUUUUAAACCUC